UGAUUUGUGCCAAAUAUCAAUGUGUCAGACUGGCAGCUGCCAGCUUUGGCUAGUUCUUUCUCUCUCCCUCCUGUUUCCUUCUCUCCCUCUCUAGAUACCUUCAGGGAUAAUUGCAGUGGCAGGUGUUCCUCGUUCAGUCAUCAGGAGCAGGUGGAAGCUCGUCCAAUCAAGCCUCCCUCCCUCACAAUACAACCAGACACCACACACCUGUUUGGAUUCACCUGCUCCACUUUGUUCCACCUGGACUCUCUGCCACCGCAGCCGCUUCCCAAGGAUAACUCACCUGAGUUGUUUCCCUCCUGGCCAUCCACCAUACCGACCUGCUGCUGCCUUUCCCUGGAAUCCCAACCUGCAACGCCAGAACCCAGUCCGAGCAUUCUCCAGUUAGAGUUCUAGUUUGUGGUCCUUAGUUUAAGCCUACUUCUGUGCUAGAGCUUCACUGAAGCCUUUCUUAGUUAUUAGGUUUGUCAGAGUUAGUUGUGCUUCAGCCGUAGUAUGCUUCGCUUUUGGUUCCUUAGUUGUUUCUAGAAUUAUCCAGUCAUUAGAGUGCUUAGCCUUGUUUUCUAUUUUCUAUUUCCAAUUGUAGUUUUCCAGUGAAAUAUUGUAGUCUUUGUGAAACUUGCUGUAAUAAACCUUCUAAAAAUGCA
Molecule: long non-coding RNA, 647 nt
Organism: Acanthochromis polyacanthus (spiny chromis)
Lineage: Eukaryota; Metazoa; Chordata; Actinopteri; Pomacentridae
Exons: 2
Source: RefSeq, a predicted model, not a curated record